RNAcentral lists this ribosomal RNA (172 nucleotides) under uncultured bacterium. Its description in RNAcentral is "partial 16S ribosomal RNA". It matches the Rfam family "Bacterial small subunit ribosomal RNA", at positions 338 to 524 of the family's 1533-position model. The record is from RNAcentral.
CCUACGGGAGGCAGCAGUAGGGAAUAUUGGGCAAUGGGGGAAACCCUGACCCAGCAACGCCGCGUGAAGGAAGAAGGCCUUCGGGUUGUAAACUUCUUUUAGCAGGGACGAAGAACGUGGCGGUACCUGCAGAAAAAGCAACGGCUAACUACGUGCCAGCAGCCGCGGUAAU